UACGUAGGUGGCAAUCGUUGUCCGGAUUUACUGGGCGUAAAGAGCGCGCAGGCGGUCGUUCAAGUCGCGUGUGAAAGCCCCCGGCUCAACUGGGGAGGGUCACGCGAUACUGAUCGACUCGAAGGCAGGAGAGGGUAGUGGAAUUCCUGGUGUAGCGGUGAAAUGCGCAGAUAUCAGGAGGAACACCGGUGGCGAAGGCGGAUCUCUGGGCCUUACCUGACGCUCAGGCGCGAAAGCGUGGGGAGCAAACAGG
This 253-nucleotide ribosomal RNA is filed under the name uncultured bacterium. RNAcentral describes it as "partial 16S ribosomal RNA". It matches the Rfam family "Bacterial small subunit ribosomal RNA", at positions 524 to 776 of the family's 1533-position model. The record is from RNAcentral.